RNAcentral lists this ribosomal RNA (929 nucleotides) under Massilia sp. 1PNM-12. RNAcentral describes it as "bacterial SSU rRNA". It matches the Rfam family "Bacterial small subunit ribosomal RNA", at positions 61 to 985 of the family's 1533-position model. Lineage: Bacteria; Pseudomonadati; Pseudomonadota; Betaproteobacteria; Burkholderiales; Oxalobacteraceae. The record is from RNAcentral.
GUCGAACGGCAGCACGGGCUUCGGCCUGGUGGCGAGUGGCGAACGGGUGAGUAAUACAUCGGAACGUACCCAGAAGUGGGGGAUAACGCAGCGAAAGUUGCGCUAAUACCGCAUACGUUCUACGGAAGAAAGUGGGGGAUCUUCGGACCUCAUGCUUUUGGAGCGGCCGAUGUCUGAUUAGCUAGUUGGUGGGGUAAAGGCUCACCAAGGCGACGAUCAGUAGCUGGUCUGAGAGGACGACCAGCCACACUGGAACUGAGACACGGUCCAGACUCCUACGGGAGGCAGCAGUGGGGAAUUUUGGACAAUGGGCGCAAGCCUGAUCCAGCAAUGCCGCGUGAGUGAAGAAGGCCUUCGGGUUGUAAAGCUCUUUUGUCAGGGAAGAAACGGUUCCGGCUAAUAUCCGGGGCUAAUGACGGUACCUGAAGAAUAAGCACCGGCUAACUACGUGCCAGCAGCCGCGGUAAUACGUAGGGUGCAAGCGUUAAUCGGAAUUACUGGGCGUAAAGCGUGCGCAGGCGGUUUUGUAAGUCUGUCGUGAAAGCCCCGGGCUCAACCUGGGAAUUGCGAUGGAGACUGCAAGGCUUGAAUCUGGCAGAGGGGGGUAGAAUUCCACGUGUAGCAGUGAAAUGCGUAGAGAUGUGGAGGAACACCGAUGGCGAAGGCAGCCCCCUGGGUCAAGAUUGACGCUCAUGCACGAAAGCGUGGGGAGCAAACAGGAUUAGAUACCCUGGUAGUCCACGCCCUAAACGAUGUCUACUAGUUGUCGGGUUUUAAUUAACUUGGUAACGCAGCUAACGCGUGAAGUAGACCGCCUGGGGAGUACGGUCGCAAGAUUAAAACUCAAAGGAAUUGACGGGGACCCGCACAGGCGGUGGAUGAUGUGGAUUAAUUCGAUGCAACGCGAAAAACCUUUACCUACCCUUGAA